UGGCUCUGGCAUNGAUGAAGAACGCAGCGAAAUGCGAUAAGUAGUGUGAAUUGCAGAAUUCAGCGAAUCAUCGAAUCUUUGAACGCACAUUGCGCCCUUCGGUUAUUCCUUAGGGCAUGCCUGUUCGAGCGUCAUUUCAACCUUCAAGCCCAGCUUGGUGUUGGGCGCUGUCCCGCCCCCGCGCGAGGACUCGCCCCAAAUGAAUUGGCAGCCGCACCCCGAAAGCCGCGAGCGCAGCAAAGACGCGCGAGCUGGCCUCCGGGGAAGGGCGCUCCACGAGACACAACCACAAGUCUUGACCUCGGAUCAGGUAGGGAUACCCGCUGA
This 327-nucleotide unclassified non-coding RNA is filed under the name uncultured fungus. Its description in RNAcentral is "partial contains 5.8S ribosomal RNA and internal transcribed spacer 2". The stretch from base 1 to 134 matches the Rfam family "5.8S ribosomal RNA", at positions 22 to 154 of the family's 154-position model. Lineage: Eukaryota; Fungi. The record is from RNAcentral.